GUGGGGAAUUUUGGACAAUGGGCGCAAGCCUGAUCCAGCAAUGCCGCGUGCAGGAAGAAGGCCUUCGGGUUGUAAACUGCUUUUGUACGGAACGAAACGGUCCGGGUUAAUACCCUGGGCUAAUGACGGUACCGUAAGAAUAAGCACCGGCUAACUACGUGCCAGCAGCCGCGGUAAUACGUAGGGUGCAAGCGUUAAUCGGAAUUACUGGGCGUAAAGCGUGCGCAGGCGGUGCUGUAAGACAGGCGUGAAAUCCCCGGGCUUAACCUGGGAAUUGCGCUUGCGACUGCAGUGCUGGAGUGCGGCAGAGGGGGAUGGAAUUCCGCGUGUAGCAGUGAAAUGCGUAGAUAUGCGGAGGAACACCGAUGGCGAAGGCAAUCCCCUGGGCCUGCACUGACGCUCAUGCACGAAAGCGUGGGGAGCAAACAGGAUUAGAAACCCGAGUAGUCC
Molecule: ribosomal RNA, 450 nt
Filed under: uncultured bacterium
Lineage: Bacteria
Description: partial 16S ribosomal RNA
Rfam family: Bacterial small subunit ribosomal RNA
Source: RNAcentral